This 400-nucleotide ribosomal RNA is filed under the name uncultured Geobacteraceae bacterium. Its description in RNAcentral is "bacterial SSU rRNA". It matches the Rfam family "Bacterial small subunit ribosomal RNA", at positions 1 to 389 of the family's 1533-position model. Lineage: Bacteria; Pseudomonadati; Thermodesulfobacteriota; Desulfuromonadia; Geobacterales; Geobacteraceae. The record is from RNAcentral.
CCUUAGAGUUUGAUCCUGGCUCAGAACGAACGCUGGCGGCGUGCUUAACACAUGCAAGUCGAACGUGAUCCAGAGCUUGCUCUGGUGAAAGUGGCGCACGGGUGAGUAACGCGUGGAUAACCUGCCCUGGUAUCUGGGAUAACAUCUCGAAAGGGGUGCUAAUACCGGAUAAGCCUACGGGGUCCUCGGACUCUGCAGGAAAAGGUGGCCUCUAUUUAUAAGCUACCGUAUCAGGAUGGGUCCGCGUACCAUUAGCUAGUUGGUGGGGUAAUGGCCCACCAAGGCGACGAUGGUUAGCUGGUCUGAGAGGAUGAUCAGCCACACUGGAACUGAGACACGGUCCAGACUCCUACGGGAGGCAGCAGUGGGGAAUUUUGUCCAAUGGGCGAAAGCCUGAGAC